ACCCGGAUUGCAUCGUGAGGGCGAGCUGAGUUCUCCUCUGCACAGACUUCAGAGAUACAGCGAAGGCGGAGCAGUGUUCUCCUCAGCACAGACCCGGGCGGACGGGUGGGCCGGGGGCACCGCAAGGGCGGAGCUGCGUUCUGCUCAGCACAGACCCGGGGGACACAGCGAAGGCAGAGCAGCGUUCUCCUCAGCACAGACCUUGGGAGCACUGCAUCGCUUUGGGCAGAAUAGAUUACUGAUUUUGGGCACUCCAAGAUUUUGGGAGAGACCUCUCUCAUGAGAACUUUAUGUGGAACCCCCACCUGCUUGGCUCCUGAAGUUCUUGUUUCUGUUGGGACUGCUGGGUAUAACCGUGCUGUGGACUGCUGGAGUUUAGGAGUUAUUCUUUUUAUCUGCCUUAGUGGGUAUCCACCUUUCUCUGAGCACAGGACUCAAGUGUCACUGAAGGACCAGAUCACCAGUGGAAAACACAACUUCAUUCCUAAAGUCUGGGCAGAAGUCUCAGAGAAAGGAUGAAGACAUGAAGAGAAAGUUUCAAGAUCUUCUGUGUGAGGAAAAUGAAUCCACAGCUCUACUCCAGGUUCUAGCCCAGCCUUCUACUAGUCGAAAGUGGCCUCAUGAAGGGGAAGCCGAGGGUGCCGAGACCACAAAGCGCCCGGCUGUGUGUGCUGCUGUGUUGUGAACUCCAUGGUUUGAACAUGAAAGAAAUGUACCUUCUUUCACUCUGUCAUCUUUCUUUUCUUUGAGUCUGUUUUUUAUAGUGUGUAUUUUAAUUAUGGAAAUAAUUGCUUUUUCACAGUCACUGAUGUACAAUUAAAAACCUGAUGGAACCUGG
This 838-nucleotide long non-coding RNA is filed under the name Homo sapiens (human). RNAcentral's name for it is "non-protein coding lnc-LINC02203-22:1". Lineage: Eukaryota; Metazoa; Chordata; Mammalia; Primates; Hominidae. The record is from RNAcentral.